GAUGAAGAACGUAGCGAAAUGCGAUAAGUAAUGUGAAUUGCAGAAUUCAGUGAAUCAUCGAAUCUUUGAACGCACAUUGCGCCCGCCAGUAUUCUGGCGGGCAUGCCUGUUCGAGCGUCAUUUCAACCAUCGAGCCCCCGGCUUGUGUUGGGGACCUGCGGCUGCCGCAGGCCCUGAAAACCAGUGGCGGGCUCGCUAGUCACUCCGAGCGUAGUAAUACAUCUCGCUCAGGGCGUGCUGCGGGUUCCGGCCGUUAAAAAGCCUUAUUUACCCAAGGUUGACCUCGGAUCAGGUAGGAAGACCCGCUGAACUUAAGCAUAUCAAUAAGCGGAGG
This 334-nucleotide unclassified non-coding RNA is filed under the name soil metagenome. Its description in RNAcentral is "partial contains 5.8S ribosomal RNA, internal transcribed spacer 2, and large subunit ribosomal RNA". The stretch from base 1 to 120 matches the Rfam family "5.8S ribosomal RNA", at positions 35 to 154 of the family's 154-position model. The record is from RNAcentral.